Molecule: ribosomal RNA, 460 nt
Filed under: uncultured bacterium
Lineage: Bacteria
Description: partial 16S ribosomal RNA
Rfam family: Bacterial small subunit ribosomal RNA
Source: RNAcentral
CCUACGGGGCGCAGCAGUGAGGAAUAUUGGUCAAUGGACGAGAGUCUGAACCAGCCAAGUAGCGUGAAGGAUGACUGCCCUAUGGGUUGUCAACUUCUUUUAUAUAGGAAUAAAAUGUUCCACGUGUGGGAUUUUGUAUGUCCCAUAUGAAUAAGGAUCGGCUAACUCCGUGCCAGCAGCCGCGGGAAUACGGAGGAACCGAGCGUUAUCCGGAUGUAUUGGGUUUAAAGGGAGCGUAGGUGGAUUGUUAAGGUAGUUGUGAAAGUUUGCGGCUCAACCGUAAAAUUGCAGUUGACACUGGCAGUCUUGAGUACAGUAGAGGUGGGCGGAAUUCGUGGGGUAGCGGUGAAAUGCUUAGAUAUCACGAAGAACUCCGAUUGCGAAGGCAGCUCACUGGACUGCAACUGACACUGAGGCUCGAAAGUGUGGGUAUCAAACAGGAUGAGAUACCCGAGUAGUC